GGGAAGGUAGCUCAGCCGUAGAGUGCUUGCCUUGCAAGCAUGAGGCCCUGGGUUCGAUUCCUCAGCACCA
Non-coding RNA from Dipodomys ordii (Ord's kangaroo rat), 70 nucleotides. NCBI's taxonomy places the organism in Eukaryota, Metazoa, Chordata, Mammalia, Rodentia, Heteromyidae. The record is from Rfam.